Molecule: ribosomal RNA, 446 nt
Filed under: uncultured bacterium
Lineage: Bacteria
Description: bacterial SSU rRNA
Rfam family: Bacterial small subunit ribosomal RNA
Source: RNAcentral
GGCCAGACUCCUACGGGAGGCAGCAGUGGGGGAUAUUGCACAAUGGGGGGAACCCUGAUGCAGCGACGCCGCGUGGGUGAAGGAGUAUUUCGGUAUGUAAAGCUCUAUCAGCAGGGAAGAAAAUGACAGUACCUGACUAAGAAGCCCCGGCUAACUACGUGCCAGCAGCCGCGGUAAUACGUAGGGGGCAAGCGUUAUCCGGAUUUACUGGGUGUAAAGGGAGCGUAGACGGCUGCGCAAGUCAGAAGUGAAAGCCCGGGGCUCAACCGCGGGACUGCUCUUGGAACUGCGCGGCUGGAGUGCAGGAGGGGCAGGCGGAAUUCCUGGUGUAGCGGUGAAAUGCGUAGAUAUCAGGAGGAACACCGGUGGCGAAGGCGGCCUGCUGGACUGCGACUGACGUUGAGGCCCGAAAGCGUGGGGAGCAAACAGGAUUAGAUACCCCCGUA